RNAcentral lists this ribosomal RNA (827 nucleotides) under uncultured bacterium. RNAcentral's name for it is "bacterial SSU rRNA". It matches the Rfam family "Bacterial small subunit ribosomal RNA", at positions 526 to 1357 of the family's 1533-position model. The record is from RNAcentral.
CGGAAGGUCCGGGCGUUAUCCGGAUUUAUUGGGUUUAAAGGGAGCGUAGGCCGGAGAUUAAGCGUGUUGUGAAAUGUAGACGCUCAACGUCUGCACUGCAGCGCGAACUGGUUUCCUUGAGUACGCACAAAGUGGGCGGAAUUCGUGGUGUAGCGGUGAAAUGCUUAGAUAUCACGAAGAACUCCGAUUGCGAAGGCAGCUCACUGGAGCGCAACUGACGCUGAAGCUCGAAAGUGCGGGUAUCGAACAGGAUUAGAUACCCUGGUAGUCCGCACGGUAAACGAUGGAUGCCCGCUGUUGGUCUGAAUAGGUCAGCGGCCAAGCGAAAGCAUUAAGCAUCCCACCUGGGGAGUACGCCGGCAACGGUGAAACUCAAAGGAAUUGACGGGGGCCCGCACAAGCGGAGGAACAUGUGGUUUAAUUCGAUGAUACGCGAGGAACCUUACCCGGGCUUGAAUUGCAGAGGAAGGAUUUGGAGACAAUGACGCCCUUCGGGGUCUCUGUGAAGGUGCUGCAUGGUUGUCGUCAGCUCGUGCCGUGAGGUGUCGGCUUAAGUGCCAUAACGAGCGCAACCCCUCUCCUUAGUUGCCAUCAGGUCAAGCUGGGCACUCUGGGGACACUGCCACCGUAAGGUGUGAGGAAGGUGGGGAUGACGUCAAAUCAGCACGGCCCUUACGUCCGGGGCUACACACGUGUUACAAUGGCAGGUACAGAGAGACGGUCCCUUGCAAAAUGGAUCAAAUCCUUAAAGCCUGUCUCAGUUCGGACUGGGGUCUGCAACCCGACCCCACGAAGCUGGAUUCGCUAGUAAUCGCGCAUCAGCCAUG